RNAcentral lists this ribosomal RNA (554 nucleotides) under uncultured bacterium. RNAcentral's name for it is "bacterial SSU rRNA". It matches the Rfam family "Bacterial small subunit ribosomal RNA", at positions 355 to 896 of the family's 1533-position model. The record is from RNAcentral.
UGGGGAAUAUUGGACAAUGGGCGCAAGCCUGAUCCAGCCAUGCCGCGUGGGUGAAGAAGGCCUUCGGGUUGUAAAGCCCUUUUGUUGGGAAAGAAAAGCAGUCGGUUAAUACCCGAUUGUUCUGACGGUACCCAAAGAAUAAGCACCGGCUAACUUCGUGCCAGCAGCCGCGGUAAUACGAAGGGUGCAAGCGUUACUCGGAAUUACUGGGCGUAAAGCGUGCGUAGGUGGUGGUUUAAGUCUGUUGUGAAAGCCCUGGGCUCAACCUGGGAAUUGCAGUGGAUACUGGGUCACUAGAGUGUGGUAGAGGGUAGCGGAAUUCCCGGUGUAGCAGUGAAAUGCGUAGAGAUCGGGAGGAACAUCCAGUCCGUGGCGAAGGCGGCUNCAUCGACCAACGACGACNNUGAGGCGAGAAAGUUGGGGAGCAAACAGGAUUAGAUACCCUGGUAGUCCACGCCCUAAACGAUGCGAACUGGAUGUUGGGUGCAAUUUGGCACGCAGUAUCGAAGCUAACGCGUUAAGUUCGCCGCCUGGGGAGUACGGUCGCAAGACUG